This is a non-coding RNA of Schistosoma haematobium, 44 nucleotides long. Lineage: Eukaryota; Metazoa; Platyhelminthes; Trematoda; Strigeidida; Schistosomatidae. The record is from Rfam.
AUUUUGCUGAGGAGUCCCACAAUAGGACGAAACGACCGUCCAGU